GUGGGUAUAGCUCAGUGGUAGAGUGCGUGCUUAGCAUGCACAAGGUUCUGGGUUCAAUCCCCAGUACCUCUG
RNAcentral lists this transfer RNA (72 nucleotides) under Camelus bactrianus (Bactrian camel). It matches the Rfam family "tRNA". From Rfam's summary of the family: Transfer RNA (tRNA) molecules are approximately 80 nucleotides in length. Their secondary structure includes four short double-helical elements and three loops (D, anti-codon, and T loops). Further hydrogen bonds mediate the characteristic L-shaped molecular structure. tRNAs have two regions of fundamental functional importance: the anti-codon, which is responsible for specific mRNA codon recognition, and the 3' end, to which the tRNAs corresponding amino acid is attached (by aminoacyl-tRNA synthetases). tRNAs cope with the degeneracy of the genetic code in two manners: having more than one tRNA (with a specific anti-codon) for a particular amino acid; and 'wobble' base-pairing, i.e. permitting non-standard base-pairing at the 3rd anti-codon position. Lineage: Eukaryota; Metazoa; Chordata; Mammalia; Artiodactyla; Camelidae. The record is from Rfam by way of RNAcentral. RNAcentral also lists the same sequence under 1 other name.